GCAGUAUUGCCAUUAAAAGUUGUAUCGAACUCAAGUAGCAACGAUGAAGCUGAAACUUUAUUGGUACUGAAAAUCAAAGGAGUGAAAUUGAUAGUUCCAAAAAAGAGUCCUGCCCUGUACAUAUUAAGAAGACUAUUUGUGAUAAUAACUUAGAAAAAAUUGAUAUCAGCAACUAUCCUAUCAUUGAAAGCACUCGGAAAAAUGACAUUUUAGUAUUCAAGACCCUGAAGUUAAGUGCCAGUCUUUCGCCUACACUAUCUAAUUUAAUCCUUGCCCGUGUUUUGGAUACUUAUCCAGGAACUUUAGUCUUAUUUGAAAUCUUAGGGGGUGAAGAAGAAUUAGAUUUCACUACAGAUGGAUCCCUCAUGGAAGAGCAUAAAACCCCAAAUCCCUUGAUCAAAUUGAAUUGGACUGACUUAUAUGAGCCACGCCUUCUUUAUCCAUAA
This 446-nucleotide long non-coding RNA is filed under the name Bemisia tabaci. RNAcentral describes it as "lncRNA ENSSSA2NGG005482". Lineage: Eukaryota; Metazoa; Arthropoda; Insecta; Hemiptera; Aleyrodidae. The record is from RNAcentral.